UUCGCCCUUAGAGUUUGAUCCUGGCUCAGGAUGAACGCUGGCGGCGUGCUUAACACAUGCAAGUCGAGCGAAGCACUUAAGCUUAAUUCUUCGGAUGAAGACUUUUGUGACUGAGCGGCGGACGGGUGAGUAACGCGUGAGGAACCUGCCUCAAAGAGGGGGACAACAGUUGGAAACGACUGCUAAUACCGCAUAAGCCCACGGCUCGGCAUCGAGCAGAGGGAAAAGGAGCAAUCCGCUUUGAGAUGGCCUCGCGUCCGAUUAGCUAGUUGGUGAGGUAAUGGCCCACCAAGGCGACGAUCGGUAGCCGGACUGAGAGGUUGAACGGCCACAUUGGGACUGAGACACGGCCCAGACUCCUACGGGAGGCAGCAGUGGGGAAUAUUGCACAAUGGGGGAAACCCUGAUGCAGCGACGCCGCGUGGAGGAAGAAGGUCUUCGGAUUGUAAACUCCUGUUGUUGGGGAAGAUAAUGACGGUACCCAACAAGGAAGUGACGGCUAACUACGUGCCAGCAGCCGCGGUAAAACGUAGGUCACAAGCGUUGUCCGGAAUUACUGGGUGUAAAGGGAGCGCAGGCGGGAAGACAAGUUGGAAGUGAAAUCUAUGGGCUCAACCCAUAAACUGCUUUCAAAACUGUUUUUCUUGAGUAGUGCAGAGGUAGGCGGAAUUCCCGGUGUAGCGGUGGAAUGCGUAGAUAUCGGGAGGAACACCAGUGGCGAAGGCGGCCUACUGGGCACCAACUGACGCUGAGGCUCGAAAGUGUGGGUAGCAAACAGGAUUAGAUACCCUGGUAGUCCACACCGUAAACGAUGAUUACUAGGUGUUGGAGGAUUGACCCCUUCAGUGCCGCAGUUAACACAAUAAGUAAUCCACCUGGGGAGUACGACCGCAAGGUUGAAACUCAAAGGAAUUGACGGGGGCCCGCACAAGCAGUGGAGUAUGUGGUUUAAUUCGACGCAACGCGAAGAACCUUACCAAGUCUUGACAUCCUGCGACGGUGCUGGAAACAGUACUUUCCUUCGGGACGCAGAGACAGGUGGUGCAUGGUUGUCGUCAGCUCGUGUCGUGAGAUGUUGGGUUAAGUCCCGCAACGAGCGCAACCCUUAUGGUCAGUUACUACGCAAGAGGACUCUGGCCAGACUGCCGUUGACAAAACGGAGGAAGGUGGGGAUGACGUCAAAUCAUCAUGCCCUUUAUGACUUGGGCUACACACGUACUACAAUGGCGUUAAACAAAGAGAAGCAAGACCGCGAGGUGGAGCAAAACUCAGAAACAACGUCCCAGUUCGGACUGCAGGCUGCAACUCGCCUGCACGAAGUCGGAAUUGCUAGUAAUCGUGGAUCAGCAUGCCACGGUGAAUACGUUCCCGGGCCUUGCACUCACCGCCCGUCA
Molecule: ribosomal RNA, 1394 nt
Filed under: uncultured bacterium
Lineage: Bacteria
Description: bacterial SSU rRNA
Rfam family: Bacterial small subunit ribosomal RNA
Source: RNAcentral